This 129-nucleotide small nuclear RNA is filed under the name Mustela putorius furo (domestic ferret). RNAcentral describes it as "U4 spliceosomal RNA". It matches the Rfam family "U4 spliceosomal RNA". Rfam says of the family: U4 small nuclear RNA (U4 snRNA) is a component of the major U2-dependent spliceosome. The record is from Rfam by way of RNAcentral. Lineage: Eukaryota; Metazoa; Chordata; Mammalia; Carnivora; Mustelidae.
AGCUUUGCGCAGUGGCAGUAUCGUAGCCAAUGAGGUUUAUCCGAGGCGCGAUUAUUGCUAAUUGAAAAAGAGAAGUGAGCUUAGUUUAGGAUGAUUCACUCUUAGUAAACCUUUGUUGUCUUCUUGUAA